RNAcentral lists this unclassified non-coding RNA (231 nucleotides) under Glomeromycetes sp. RNAcentral's name for it is "partial contains 5.8S ribosomal RNA and internal transcribed spacer 2". The stretch from base 1 to 71 matches the Rfam family "5.8S ribosomal RNA", at positions 84 to 154 of the family's 154-position model. The record is from RNAcentral. Lineage: Eukaryota; Fungi; Glomeromycota; Glomeromycetes.
GUGAAUCAUCAAAUCUUUGAACGCAUAUUGCACUCCCUGGUAUUCCGUGGAGUAUGCCUGUUUGAGGGUCAUUUGUAAUAAUAUAAAUUCCAAGAUGUUUCGUGUUUGAAAAGGCUUUGUCCAUUGUUUGGGGUCACCUAAAAUCCAAGACAAGCUCAUGAUCUUGGGUUGCGGGAUACUUUCAGUUAUGUCGUGACAUAACCAGCAAUCAACGAGCGCGUUUUUAAAUUU